RNAcentral lists this ribosomal RNA (364 nucleotides) under uncultured bacterium. Its description in RNAcentral is "bacterial SSU rRNA". It matches the Rfam family "Bacterial small subunit ribosomal RNA", at positions 29 to 395 of the family's 1533-position model. The record is from RNAcentral.
AUUGAACGCUGGCGGCAUGCCUUACACAUGCAAGUCGAACGGCAGCACGGGGGCAACCCUGGUGGCGAGUGGCGAACGGGUGAGUAAUACAUCGGAACGUGCCCGGUAGUGGGGGAUAGCUCGGCGAAAGCCGGAUUAAUACCGCAUACGACCUACGGGUGAAAGCGGGGGAUCGCAAGACCUCGUGCCAUCGGAGCGGCCGAUGUCAGAUUAGGUUGUUGGUGGGGUAAAGCCACCAAGCCGACGAUCUGUAGCUGGUCUGAGAGGACGACCAGCCACACUGGGACUGAGACACGGCCCAGACUCCUACGGGAGGCAGCAGUGGGGAAUUUUGGACAAGUGGGCGAAAGCCUGAUCCAGCCAU